UCACAUUCAAUUUAGCUGACCAUGCUCCUUUCCUCAUAGGGGCCAGGUGUGCAACGGUUGCAAACUCCUUGGUAGUGUAUGCAGCCUGUUGCUUGUAUGGCUUGAUCUACGGGGCCUUGGAGUUAGCC
Molecule: small nucleolar RNA, 128 nt
Filed under: Microcebus murinus (gray mouse lemur)
Lineage: Eukaryota; Metazoa; Chordata; Mammalia; Primates; Cheirogaleidae
Description: Small nucleolar RNA SNORA70 (ENSMICG00000032885.2)
Rfam family: Small nucleolar RNA SNORA70
About the family: snoRNA U70 seems to be exclusive to mammals and is a member of the H/ACA class of snoRNA which contain H (ANANNA) and ACA box motifs. H/ACA box snoRNAs are involved in the conversion of uridines to pseudouridines (5-ribosyluracil) a constituent of structural RNAs (transfer, ribosomal, small nuclear, and small nucleolar).
Source: Rfam by way of RNAcentral